This 406-nucleotide ribosomal RNA is filed under the name uncultured bacterium. Its description in RNAcentral is "partial 16S ribosomal RNA". It matches the Rfam family "Bacterial small subunit ribosomal RNA", at positions 30 to 526 of the family's 1533-position model. The record is from RNAcentral.
AUUGAACGCUGGCGGCAGGCCUAACACAUGCAAGUCGAGCGAGUGGCGGACGGGUGAGUAAUGUCUGGGGAACUGCCUGAUGGAGGGGGAUAACUACUGGAAACGGUAGCUAAUACCGCAUCCUAUCGGAUGUACCCAUAUGGGAUUAGCUAGUAGGUGGGGUAAAGGCUCACCUAGGCGACGAUCCCUAGCUGGUCUGAGAGGAUGAUCAGCCACACUGGAACUGAGACAUGGCCCAGACUCCUACGGGAGGCAGCAGUGGGGAAUAUUGCACAAUGGGCGCAAGCCUGAUGCAGCCAUGCCGCGGGUAUGAAGAAGGCCUUAGGGUUGUAAAGUACUUUCAGCGGGGAGGCGUUACCCGCAGAAGAAGCACCGGCUAACUCCGUGCCAGCAGCCGCGGUAAUAC